RNAcentral lists this ribosomal RNA (115 nucleotides) under Muribaculaceae bacterium Isolate-037 (Harlan). RNAcentral's name for it is "partial 23S ribosomal RNA". It matches the Rfam family "Bacterial large subunit ribosomal RNA", at positions 1 to 124 of the family's 2925-position model. The record is from RNAcentral. Lineage: Bacteria; Pseudomonadati; Bacteroidota; Bacteroidia; Bacteroidales; Muribaculaceae.
UCGAAGGGCGCAUGGGGGAUGCCUUGGCUCUCGGAGGCGAGGAAGGACGUGACAAGCUGCGAUAAGCCACGGCGAGGGGCAAAUACCCAUUGACCCGUGGAUCUCCGAAUGGGGC